Molecule: long non-coding RNA, 342 nt
Organism: Nymphalis io (European peacock)
Lineage: Eukaryota; Metazoa; Arthropoda; Insecta; Lepidoptera; Nymphalidae
Exons: 4
Source: RefSeq, a predicted model, not a curated record
GCCUCAUUGGCCGUCGUAGAGUUUCGUCUUGAAGUUAUAUUUUGUGAAGGUUUAUUCGAAUAAACAGCUUUACCAACCAUGAAAACGAAUUUGGAUAAUAAUUAUGAACAUUGGUCUCAAACAGCACCAUAUCGAUGUCGAUUGUUUCUGCAAUUUAUUUGCAUCAGCAAUGGGUCAGACGAUGAUCCAGGUCAAAAGCGAGGCUUCUGGGAGGUAAUCAACAUUUCACAUAAAUAAGAUGAAAUGGAUUUUUAAGACGGAAGCAGAUAAAUAAUAUUAUAUAACCAGAUUUUAUAUUUAUACUAGAAGUAUCUACACUUCGACAAUUUUAUAAAAGUUUUA